This 522-nucleotide ribosomal RNA is filed under the name Triticum aestivum (bread wheat). RNAcentral describes it as "partial small subunit ribosomal RNA". The record is from RNAcentral. Lineage: Eukaryota; Viridiplantae; Streptophyta; Magnoliopsida; Poales; Poaceae.
AUGAUAGACAACAAUUUAUCCAUUCUAUGCUGGAAUGUGCGUGGGCUUAAUUGUCCAGACCGGCGUGCUGCUGUACAUGAAACCAUUGCCGCCUCCUUCUGUCAUCUUGUUUGCAUCCAAGAAUCGAAGCUGCAGACCAUUGAUCCAACUGUCGCUACUUAUCUGGGUGGCCAGCGCCUCAAGAACUUUGCUCAAAGACCGGCUGAUGGCACUAAAGGUGGAAUCUUGCUACUCUGGGAUAGUGAUGCUGUUACUGUCACCAAUGUACAAACUGGAGCCUACUUCCUCUCCGCGACCGUGAAGCUCAACAACUCCGAUGAAAAAACCUUCAAACUGACUACAGUUUAUGGCCCCACUCGUAGCAUGCAUAAGGAUGCUUUCUUCCAGGAGCUCAUCUCGCAAAACCAACUUCGGGAACCAAAUGGCUGGUUAAUGGAGACUUCAAUCAAAUAUACCGGGCUAGAGACAAGAAUCGCGCGAAUGUGGACCGAAGCCGUCUUGUCCGCUUUCGAAACACCUUGA